RNAcentral lists this ribosomal RNA (930 nucleotides) under Triticum aestivum (bread wheat). RNAcentral describes it as "partial small subunit ribosomal RNA". Lineage: Eukaryota; Viridiplantae; Streptophyta; Magnoliopsida; Poales; Poaceae. The record is from RNAcentral.
AUGUGUGUACCAAAAAACCAAGGAGGAAUGGGAUUCCGUGAUAUCCACUGUUUCAACCUGGCUUUGCCCACAAAACAGGCAUGGCGUCUUGAAAAUAAUCCUGAUUCCUUGUCUGCUACUAUUCUAAGGGCCAAGUACUAUCCUAAUGGCUAUUUGCCGAAUUCCAAUCCAAAGCAUGGUGCUUCUUUCACCUGACAAAGCAUUAUGGUAGGCAUAACUUCUCUGAAACAUGGCUAUAUUUGGCGAGUGGGGAAUGGAUAUAACAUCAUUAUUUGGGAAGAUGCCUGGGUCCAAAAUUGUGCCACUAGGAAGAUUGUGACCCCUAAGGGGGGACAAUUGUUAUCGAAAGUGGUUGACCUGAUUGACCAUGCCUCCAAUAAUUGGGAUGAGGAUAUGAUUAGACAAACUAUGUGGCCCAUUGACGCACAGCGGAUUCUUUCCAUCCCACUUUCGCAACAUGAUAUGCCAGAUUUCAUUGCCUGGAGUUAUACAAAAAAUGGUAUGUUCUCGGUACGGUUUGCUUACUCUGUGGAGUGGAAUGAUCAGCAUGGGAGUAAACUAAAACAUUCUAAUGGGAUGGGGCGAGCCACACCUAACCCUAUAUGGUCUCAGAUAUGGAAGUUAUCUUGUCUGACAAAGGUCAAAAAAAUUAUAUGGCAUAUGUUACAUGGCACUCUCCCAUGUCGGGUCACACUCGCUAAUAGACACAUGCAGGUCUUGCCCUUUUGCCCUACUUGCUCUCAGGGUUUUGAAGACACGAAACACAUGCUUUUCUGUAGUAAAGCAAAGGAGGUUUGGAAGAGGCUAGGUAUGGAUUAGAUUAUUGAUAAAGCUUUCGAGGUUGAUCGUGUUGGAGAGGCGAUAUUAUUGGAAUACCCUCUACUUCUUCCAAACCAAGAUUUGAGUAUUAUGGGGUACCAAAAUGUAUGA